CCCGCCAUAGUUUAUAAAAACAUCGACCUGCAAAAUCGAAAAAGGAGAAUCUCCUGGUGUGU
Molecule: transfer RNA, 62 nt
Filed under: Benthomangelia sp. MNHN IM 2013-9652
Lineage: Eukaryota; Metazoa; Mollusca; Gastropoda; Neogastropoda; Conidae
Description: tRNA-Cys
Source: RNAcentral